AGCCAGACAACUGUACAAGGAUUGAAGAAACAAGUUCAGUUAUAAUAAAUUACUCAAGGAUCUUAAGAAAGAAUGCUACUGCAAUGGUACUACAGGAUUCAGAACUAGGCCAGGUUAUUCCGGCUAAAGAAUGUUUCCACCUUUCUUGUUCAGGCUGGAAUUAUGAAGAAGGAAUUGAUCAAGAUUCAUGGGUAUUGAGCAGUAGCAUUAGUCAUUGCACAGUUCUUGUUCAUUUUCGUGCCAGUCCAGACUCGAUAUGUUAACUCACACUUAAAUCUAAUGCCAGUUCAAGCAGGAUAUUUGAACUUAGUUUGUGUGUUGCCUAGUACUACAAUGUUGGCUUGAUACUGUAAACUUUGUGUUACUGUUUGUUCAUAAUUCUCCUGCAAGCAUUGAAUGUUGGUAAUGUCAUGUUUAUUAGCGUUAACAAAUGCGUAAUAAUGGACAUUUUCUGGGAAUCGACAC
Olea europaea var. sylvestris is the source of this 465-nucleotide long non-coding RNA. RefSeq lists it as uncharacterized. The transcript is spliced from 3 exons. The record is from RefSeq and is a predicted model, not a curated record. Lineage: Eukaryota; Viridiplantae; Streptophyta; Magnoliopsida; Lamiales; Oleaceae.